UCCCUGGUGGCUCAGACGGUAAAGCGUCUGCCUGCAAUGCAGGAGACCUGGGUUCGAUCCCUGGGUUGGGAA
This 72-nucleotide transfer RNA is filed under the name Ovis aries (sheep). It matches the Rfam family "tRNA". Rfam says of the family: Transfer RNA (tRNA) molecules are approximately 80 nucleotides in length. Their secondary structure includes four short double-helical elements and three loops (D, anti-codon, and T loops). Lineage: Eukaryota; Metazoa; Chordata; Mammalia; Artiodactyla; Bovidae. The record is from Rfam by way of RNAcentral.